GUCCCUGUGCCCAAGAACACUAAGGUAACCUGUCUAAAUGACUACAGACCCGUAGCACUCACGUCUGUAGCCAUGAAAUGCUUUGAAAGGCUGGUCAUGGCUCACAACACCAUUAUCCCAGAAACCCUAAACCCACUCCAAUUUGCAAACUGCCCCCAACAGAUCCACAGAUGAUGCAGUCUCUAUUGCACUCCACACUGCCCUUUCACACCUGGACAAUAGGAACACUUAUGUGAGAAUGCUAUUCAUUGACUACAGCUCAGCAUUCAACACCAUAGUGCCCUCAAAUCUCAUCACUAAGCUAAGAAGGAGCCUGGGACUAAACAGAGGGUAGUGCGUACGGCCCAGUAUAUCACUGGUGCAAAGCUUCCUGCCAUCCAGGACCUCCUAUACCAGGCGGUGUAUAAAAAUUGUCAAAGACUCCAGCCAUCCUAGUCAUAGAAUGUUCUCUCUGCUACCGCACGGCAAACAGUACCGGAGCGCCAAAUCUAGGUCCAAAAUACUUCUUAACAGCUUCUACCCCCAAGCCAUGAGACUCCUGAAUAGCUACUGCUGCUCUUUAAUUAUUUUUUUACUUAACCAACAAUGCUGUUUUAAGAAAAAAAAAGAAGUUAAGGGCUUGUAAGUAAGCAUUUCACUGUGAGGUCUACUACACCUGUUGUAUUCAGCAUUUCACUGUAAGGUCUACUACACCUGUUGUAUUCAGCAUUUCACUGUGAGGUCUACUACACCUGUUGUAUUCAGCAUUUCACUGUAAGGUCUACUACACCUGUUGUAUUCAGCAUUUCACUGUAAGGUCUACACCUGUUGUAUUCAGCAUUUCACUGUAAGGUCUAAACCUGUUGUAUUCAGCAUUUCACUGUAAGGUCUAAACCUGUUGUAUUCAGCAUUUCACUGUAAGGUCUAAACCUGUUGUAUUCAGCAUUUCACUGUAAGGUCUACUACACCUGUUGUAUUCAGCAUUUCACUGUGAGGUCUACUACACCUGUUGUAUUCAGCAUUUCACUGUGAG
RNAcentral lists this long non-coding RNA (1012 nucleotides) under Salmo salar (Atlantic salmon). RNAcentral describes it as "lncRNA (ENSSSAG00000089467.1)". Lineage: Eukaryota; Metazoa; Chordata; Actinopteri; Salmoniformes; Salmonidae. The record is from RNAcentral.